UGGGGAAUAUUGCACAAUUGGGGAAACCCUGAUGCAGCGACGCCGCGUGAGCGAAGAAGGUUUUCGAAUCGUAAAGCUCUGUCCUAUGAGAAGAUAAUGACGGUAUCAUAGGAGGAAGCCCCGGCUAACUACGUGCCAGCAGCCGCGGUAAUACGUAGGGCGCAAGCGUUAUCCGGAAUUAUUGGGCGUAAAGAGCUUGUAGGCGGUUCGUCGCGUCUGGUGUGAAAGCCCUUCGCUUAACGGUGGGUUUGCGCCGGGUCCGGACGGGCUAGAGUGCAGUAGGGGAGACUGGAAUUCCCGGUGUAACGGUGGAAGGUGUAGAUAUCGGGAAGAACACCCAUGGCGGAGGCAGGUCUCUGGGCUGUUACUGACGCUCAGAAGCGAAAGCGUGGGGAGCGAACAGG
RNAcentral lists this ribosomal RNA (404 nucleotides) under Verrucomicrobiota bacterium. RNAcentral's name for it is "Verrucomicrobia bacterium partial 16S ribosomal RNA". It matches the Rfam family "Bacterial small subunit ribosomal RNA", at positions 355 to 776 of the family's 1533-position model. The record is from RNAcentral. Lineage: Bacteria; Pseudomonadati; Verrucomicrobiota.